This 492-nucleotide ribosomal RNA is filed under the name uncultured bacterium. RNAcentral describes it as "partial 16S ribosomal RNA". It matches the Rfam family "Bacterial small subunit ribosomal RNA", at positions 29 to 507 of the family's 1533-position model. The record is from RNAcentral.
AAUGAACGCUGGCGGCAGGCCUAACACAUGCAAGUCGAACGGCAGCAGAGGAACUGCUUGUUCUUACGGAGGGGGAGUGGGGUGAGGAACGGGUAUAUAUCCGAACUUGCUGUGGCGGAGGAGUUAACGAAGGGAAAGCUACGACAACACAGCAGACGACGUACGAGGGAAAGCACGGGAACGUUGGACUUGCAGCGAUACCAGGAGGCGAUGUCGGGUUAGAGAGUUGGCGGGGGAAAAGCCCACCAAGCGGACGAUCCGUAGCUGGGCUGAGAGGGUGAUCGGCCACCCUGGACCGGGGCCACGGCCCGGACUCCUACGGGAGGCACCAGUGGGGAAUAUUGGACAAUGGGCGCAAGCCUGAUCCAGCCAUCCCGCGUGGGUGAAGAAGGUCUUCGGGUUGUAAAGCCCUUUUUUUGGGAAAGAAGAGCAGCAGGUUAAUACCUCGCUGUUGUGACGGUACCCAAAGAAUAAGCACCGGCUAACUUCGUG